Molecule: unclassified non-coding RNA, 337 nt
Filed under: soil metagenome
Description: partial contains 5.8S ribosomal RNA, internal transcribed spacer 2, and large subunit ribosomal RNA
Rfam family: 5.8S ribosomal RNA (bases 1-120)
Source: RNAcentral
GAUGAAGAACGUAGCGAAAUGCGAUAAGUAGUGUGAAUUGCAGAAUUCAGUGAAUCAUCGAAUCUUUGAACGCACAUUGCGCCCCUUGGUAUUCCAUGGGGCAUGCCUGUUCGAGCGUCAUUUGUACCUUCAAGCUCUGCUUGGUGUUGGGUGUUUGUCUCGCCUCUGCGUGUAGACUCGCCUCAAAACAAUUGGCAGCCGGCGUAUUGAUUUCGGAGCGCAGUACAUCUCGCGCUUUGCACUCAUAACGACGACGUCCAAAAGUACAUUUUUACACUCUUGACCUCGGAUCAGGUAGGGAUACCCGCUGAACUUAAGCAAAUCAAUAAGCGGAGGA